AAAAAACAGAGCAUUAGUUCUCUAACUCUGUUCUUCCUCCAUCAACCACCUCCAGACGUCGGAUCACUCCCUUUGGCUUCGCCUGAGGCUGCUCUACCUACUGGACGUCGUCUUUUUCCCCGGCACAGCCUCAAGGUCCGGCAAACCAGCUCGACCCGGUUGCACCCGAAAACGAACCAACUCAUCCUCCUCGUGUUUCCGGCCACCAAUUCCCCCCAAACUUCAUCCUCGAGCUCGUCUCAACGUCCUGAAGCUCCUAGAAGUGGCCUUGCACGGCGGCGCUACUCGUGGUGGCGGCUGGAAGCCAGACCCGAUCAAAUCGAAAACCGAAGCUUCGAGCAAUAUAUCUCGCGCUACAGGACGUUGUUUUGAGUGUUUCUUGAACUGGUGAACUCAGAGUGAGGAUCUGAACAACUUUCCAGAAGGUAUCGAGGCCUGAAGUUGCAGUUUUUACGUCGAACUAGGAGCUCGCCGGUUUCUGGGUUUUUCCGGCCAACCGACUGGUUUGAGGUGAUCGACGGUUUGAUUUGGCGGACGAUUCGUGAAAGUGUAUUUUGAGCUGUUAAGAAGACGCAGCGGGAAUUUAGAGCGGGUAAUCCUACAGGUCAGGAGAACCAGGACGGUGAUCGGGCUGCUUAGAGUAGUGUUAUGUGAAUUACAGCAUUAUAUUGUGAGGUUUGUUAUGCUCAUUUAGAGCUUUACAAUUUUACCUUGUAAGAGUGAAUUGUAAUAAUUAACUCGAGGUUUUCGAGUUUUGUGUU
Rosa rugosa (rugosa rose) is the source of this 761-nucleotide long non-coding RNA. RefSeq lists it as uncharacterized. Lineage: Eukaryota; Viridiplantae; Streptophyta; Magnoliopsida; Rosales; Rosaceae. The transcript is spliced from 3 exons. The record is from RefSeq and is a predicted model, not a curated record.